Molecule: ribosomal RNA, 1598 nt
Filed under: Capsicum annuum
Lineage: Eukaryota; Viridiplantae; Streptophyta; Magnoliopsida; Solanales; Solanaceae
Description: SSU rRNA
Rfam family: Eukaryotic small subunit ribosomal RNA
Source: RNAcentral
CCUGGUUGAUCUUUCCAGUUGUCACAUGUUUGUCUCAAAGAUGAAGCCAUGCAUGUGUAAGUAUGAACAAAUUCAUUCUGUAAAACUGCAAAUGGCUUAUUAAAUAAGUUAUAGUUUGUUUGAUGGUAUCUACUACUUGGAUAACCGUAGUAAUUCUAGAGCUAAAAGGUGCAACAAAACUCAACUUUUGGAAGGGAUGCAUUUAUUAUAUAAAAGGUCGAUACGGGCAUGGCCCAUCAUGGCGAUGAUUUAUGAUAACUCGAUAGAUCGCACGACCAUCGUGCCGGCAAUGCAUCAUUCAAAUUUCAGCCCUAUCAACUCUCAAUGGUAGGAUAGUUGCUUACCAUGGUGGUGAUGGGUGAUGGAGAAUUAGGGUUUGAUUUAGGACAGAGAACCUGAUAAAUGGAUACAACAUCCUAGGAAGGCAGUAGGUGCACAAAUUACCCAAUCCUAACAUGGGGAGGUUUUCACAAAAUAUUAUAAUACCGGGCUCAAUGAGUCUGGUAAUUAGAAUGAGUACAAACUAAAUCCCUUAAAGAGGAUCCAUUGGAGAGCAAGUGUGGUGCCAUCAUCUGCGGUAAUUCCAUCUCGAAUAGCAUAUAUUUGAGUUAUUGCAGUUAAAAAGCUCAUAGCUGGACAUUGGGAUGGGCUGGCCGAUUCAUCUAUGGUGUGCACUGGUCAUCUCAUCCCUUCUGUCGGUAAUGCGCUCUUGGCCUUAACUGAUCGGGUCCUGCCUCCGACGCUGUUACUUUGAUAAAAUUAGAGAGCUCAAAGCAAGGCUACGCUCUGUAUACAUUAGCAUGGGAUAACAUUAUAGGAUUUCAGUCCUAUUAAGUUGGCAUUAUGGAUCAGAGUAAUGAUUAAUAGGGACAGUCUGGGGCAUUCGUAUUUCAUAGCCAGAGGUGAAAUUCUAGGAUUUAUGAAAGAUGAACAACUGAGAAAGCAUUUUCCAAGGAUGUUUUCAUUAAUCAAGAAUAAAAAUUGUGGGCUCGAAGAUGAUCAGAUACCAUCCUAGUCUCAACCAUAAAUGAUGCCGACCCUGGAUCGGCAGAUGUUUCUUUUAGGACUCCGCCGACACCUUAUGUGAAAUUAAAGUUAUUGGGUUCGGGUGGGAGUAUGGUCACAAGGCUGAAACUUAAAGGAAUUGACAGAAGGGCACCACCAGGAGUGGAGCAUGCAACUUAAUUUGACUCAACACAUGGAAACUUACCAGGUCCAGACAUAGUAAAGUGUCGUUUGGUAGAGUGUGUUAACAAAAAUAACACAUGCAUUAUUUAUUUGUAUUAUUAAUACAUGGAUUGGGACAAUUUUUAUCUAUGGAUAACUAAUACCUUGUAUUAGUUAUACACUAUAUUUGGUAUUUGACUAUGUAUUACUAAUUCCCCAUCUUUUAUAUGUAUUAGUAAUACAAAAUAUUUCAAUACAUGCAUUACAUUAUUAAAUUACAAAUUUACUCCUUAAAUUACCAAUUUCUUUCUCACCAUUUCUCCACAUCUUCUUCCUUCCUAAUCAAUCAUCUUCUUAUUUUUCUGAUUUCUUUCUUCUUACUUUCUUCAGAUUAAAUUCUGUCAAUUUCAUUCCGCCACAAUGUCAACAUU